RNAcentral lists this ribosomal RNA (468 nucleotides) under uncultured bacterium. RNAcentral describes it as "partial 16S ribosomal RNA". It matches the Rfam family "Bacterial small subunit ribosomal RNA", at positions 28 to 507 of the family's 1533-position model. The record is from RNAcentral.
GACGAACGCUGGCGGCGUGCUUAACACAUGCAAGUCGAACGGAAAGGCCCUGCUUUUGUGGGGUUCUCGAGUGGCUAACGUGUGAGUAACACGUGAGUAACCUGCCCUUUACUUUGGGAUAACUUCAGGAAACUUGUGCUAAUACCGGAUAGGAGCUCCUGCUGCAUGGUGGUUUUUGGAAAUUUUCGGCUGUUGGGGAUGGACUCGCGGCUUAUCAGCUUGUUGGUUGGGUAGUGGCUUACCAAGGCUUUGACGGGUAGCCGGCCUGAGAGGGUGACCGGCCACAUUGGGACUGAGAUACGGACCAGACUCCUACGGGAGGCAGCAGUGGGGAAUAUUGCACAAUGGGCGGAAGCCUGAUGCAGCAACGCCGCGUGCGGGAUGACGGCCUUCGGGUUGUAAACCGCUUUCGCCUGUGACGAAGCGUGAGUGACGGUAAUGGGUAAAGAAGCACCGGCUAACUACGUG